This 253-nucleotide ribosomal RNA is filed under the name uncultured bacterium. RNAcentral's name for it is "partial 16S ribosomal RNA". It matches the Rfam family "Bacterial small subunit ribosomal RNA", at positions 524 to 776 of the family's 1533-position model. The record is from RNAcentral.
UACGGGGGGGGCAAGCGUUGUUCGGAAUUACUGGGCGUAAAGGGUUCGUAGGUGGCUUGCUAAGUCAGACGUGAAAUCCCUCAGCUUAACUGGGGAACUGCGUCUGAUACUGGCGAGCUUGAGUGCAGGAGAGGAACGCAGAAUUCCAGGUGUAGCGGUGAAAUGCGUAGAUAUCAGGAGGAAUACCGAUGGCGAAGGCAGGUCUCUGGGCUGACACUGACGCUCAUGCACGAAAGCGUGGGGAGCAAACAGG